CACGUAGGUGGCAAGCGUUAUCCGGAUUUAUUGGGCGUAAAGGGAACGCAGGCGGUCUUUUAAGUCUGAUGUGAAAGCCUUCGGCUUAACCGGAGUAGUGCAUUGGAAACUGGGAGACUUGAGUGCAGAAGAGGAGAGUGGAACUCCAUGUGUAGCGGUGAAAUGCGUAGAUAUAUGGAAGAACACCAGUGGCGAAAGCGGCUCUCUGGUCUGUAACUGACGCUGAGGUUCGAAAGCGUGGGUAGCAAACAGG
Molecule: ribosomal RNA, 253 nt
Filed under: uncultured bacterium
Lineage: Bacteria
Description: partial 16S ribosomal RNA
Rfam family: Bacterial small subunit ribosomal RNA
Source: RNAcentral